Molecule: ribosomal RNA, 474 nt
Filed under: uncultured bacterium
Lineage: Bacteria
Description: bacterial SSU rRNA
Rfam family: Bacterial small subunit ribosomal RNA
Source: RNAcentral
GAUGAACGCUGGCGGCAUGCCUUACACAUGCAAGUCGAACGGCAGCACGGGAGCAAUCCUGGUGGCGAGUGGCGAACGGGUGAGUAAUGUAUCGGAACGUGCCCAGUCGUGGGGGAUAAUGCAGCGAAAGCUGUGCUAAUACCGCAUACGAUCUAUGGAUGAAAGCGGGGGAUCGCAAGACCUCGCGCGAUUGGAGCGGCCGAUAUCAGAUUAGCUAGUUGGUGGGGUAAAGGCUCACCAAGGCGACGAUCUGUAGCUGGUCUGAGAGGACGACCAGCCACACUGGAACUGAGACACGGUCCAGACUCCUACGGGAGGCAGCAGUGGGGAAUUUUGGACAAUGGGCGCAAGCCUGAUCCAGCAAUGCCGCGUGCAGGAUGAAGGCCUUCGGGUUGUAAACUGCUUUGUCCGGGAAGAUAAUGACUGUACCGGAAGAAUAAGCCCGGCUAACUUCGUGCCAGCAGCCGCGGUAAU